RNAcentral lists this ribosomal RNA (253 nucleotides) under uncultured bacterium. Its description in RNAcentral is "partial 16S ribosomal RNA". It matches the Rfam family "Bacterial small subunit ribosomal RNA", at positions 524 to 776 of the family's 1533-position model. The record is from RNAcentral.
UACGUAGGGUGCGAGCGUUAAUCGGAAUUACUGGGCGUAAAGCGUGCGCAGGCGGUUUGCUAAGACAGAUGUGAAAUCCCCGGGCUUAACCUGGGAACUGCGUUUGUAACUGGCAAGCUAGAGUGUGGCAGAGGGGGGUAGAAUUCCAGGUGUAGCAGUGAAAUGCGUAGAUAUCUGGAGGAAUACCGAUGGCGAAGGCAGCCCCCUGGGUUAACACUGACGCUCAUGCACGAAAGCGUGGGGAGCAAACAGG